UCCUACGGGAGGCAGCAGUGGGGAAUAUUGGACAAUGGGGGCAACCCUGAUCCAGCCAUGCCGCGUGUGUGAAGAAGGCCCUCGGGUUGUAAAGCACUUUCAGCGAGGAAGAACGCCUAGCGGUUAAUACCCGCUAGGAAAGACAUCACUCGCAGAAGAAGCACCGGCUAACUCCGUGCCAGCAGCCGCGGUAAUACGGAGGGUGCAAGCGUUAAUCGGAAUUACUGGGCGUAAAGCGCGCGUAGGUGGCUUGAUAAGCCGGUUGUGAAAGCCCCGGGCUCAACCUGGGAACGACAUCCGGAACUGUCAAGCUAGAGUGCAGGAGAGGAAGGUAGAAUUCCCGGUGUAGCGGUGAAAUGCGUAGAGAUCGGGAGGAAUACCAGUGGCGAAGGCGGCCUUCUGGACUGACACUGACACUGAGGUGCGAAAGCGUGGGUAGCAAACAGGAUUAGAUACCAUGGUAGUCCACGCCGUAAACGAUGUCGACCAGCCGUUGGGUGCCUAGCGCACUUUGUGGCGAAGUUAACGCGAUAAGUCGACCGCCUGGGGAGUACGGCCGCAAGGUUAAAACUCAAAUGAAUUGACGGGGGCCCGCACAAGCGGUGGAGCAUGUGGUUUAAUUCGAUGCAACGCGAAGAACCUUACCUACUCUUGACAUCCUGCGAAUUUGGUAGAGAUACCUUAGUGCCUUCGGGAACGCAGAGACAGGUGCUGCAUGGCUGUCGUCAGCUCGUGUUGUGAAAUGUUGGGUUAAGUCCCGUAACGAGCGCAACCCUUGUCCUUAUUUGCCAGCGCGUAAUGGCGGGAACUCUAAGGAGACUGCCGGUGACAACCGGAGGAAGGUGGGGGACGACGUCAGUCAUCAUGGCCCUUACGAGUAGGGC
This 884-nucleotide ribosomal RNA is filed under the name uncultured bacterium. RNAcentral's name for it is "bacterial SSU rRNA". It matches the Rfam family "Bacterial small subunit ribosomal RNA", at positions 337 to 1214 of the family's 1533-position model. The record is from RNAcentral.